CAGCGCCGCGGGAAUACGUAGGUGGCAAGCGUUGUCCGGAAUUAUUGGGCGUAAAGCGCGCGCAGGUGGUUUAAUAAGUCUGAUGUGAAAGCCCACGGCUCAACCGUGGAGGGUCAUUGGAAACUGUUAAACUUGAGUGCAGGAGAGAAAAGUGGAAUUCCUAGUGUAGCGGUGAAAUGCGUAGAUAUUAGGAGGAACAUCAGCGGCGAAGGCGGCUUUCUGGACUGCAACUGACACUGAGAGACGAAAUCUGGGGGAGCAAAUGGGAUUAGAGACCCGCGUAGUCCCUGUCUCUUAUACA
Molecule: ribosomal RNA, 301 nt
Filed under: uncultured bacterium
Lineage: Bacteria
Description: partial 16S ribosomal RNA
Rfam family: Bacterial small subunit ribosomal RNA
Source: RNAcentral